AAAAAAGCAGUGGUCUGGUUCCUAUAUGAGCCGUCCACCCGUAACAUUCAGGGAUAUAAACUCAUUGUUAUUGGGUGAACCUAUGUCUUGUCUUUGUGAUACGUGAUUGAAGGUUCAGUAAACGAUGGAAUAUUU
RNAcentral lists this small nucleolar RNA (135 nucleotides) under Medicago truncatula (barrel medic). RNAcentral's name for it is "Small nucleolar RNA snoR74". It matches the Rfam family "Small nucleolar RNA snoR74". Lineage: Eukaryota; Viridiplantae; Streptophyta; Magnoliopsida; Fabales; Fabaceae. The record is from Rfam by way of RNAcentral.